This 468-nucleotide ribosomal RNA is filed under the name uncultured bacterium. RNAcentral describes it as "partial 16S ribosomal RNA". It matches the Rfam family "Bacterial small subunit ribosomal RNA", at positions 28 to 507 of the family's 1533-position model. The record is from RNAcentral.
GACGAACGCUGGCGGCGCGCCUAACACAUGCAAGUCGAACGGAGCUGAGAGAAGCUUGCUUUUCUUAGCUUAGUGGCGAACGGGUGAGUAACGCGUGAGUAACCUGCCCUGGAGUGGGGGACAACAGUUGGAAACGACUGCUAAUACCGCAUAAGCCCACGAUCCGGCAUCGGAUUGAGGGAAAAGGAUUUAUUCGCUUCAGGAUGGACUCGCGUCCAAUUAGCUAGUUGGUGGGGUAACGGCCCACCAAGGCGACGAUUGGUAGCCGGACUGAGAGGUUGAACGGCCACAUUGGGACUGAGACACGGCCCAGACUCCUACGGGAGGCAGCAGUGGGGGAUAUUGCACAAUGGGGGAAACCCUGAUGCAGCGACGCCGCGUGGAGGAAGAAGGUUUUCGGAUUGUAAACUCCUGUCGUUAGGGACGAUAAUGACGGUACCUAACAAGAAAGCACCGGCUAACUACGUG